CCAUCCCUGGGCUGGUGGCCUUGGGUUCUAUAAGAAAGCAGGCUGAGCAAACCAGGAAAGGCAAGCCAGUGAGCAGCGCCCUCCGGUGGCCUCUGCUUCUGCUCCUGCCUCCAGGUCCCUGCCCCGCUGAGUUCCCGCCCUGACCUCCUUUGAUGAUGAGCAGUGAGUGCUGUGGAAGAGUGAGCUGAAUUAACCCUUUCCUCCCCAAGUGACCCUUAGUUUAGUGGGGUGCUGCUGUGAUGGCACUGACAGUGUCUUGGGGAGGGCUGUGUGUGGAAGGACAGCCGGUGGGUGCUGAGAGCUCACAGGCUGCUCCGUGGCCCGGGACGGGGAGGAGAGUGUUGAGAACAGUACAGCCGAUGGAAACCUGCGUGGCUUGAAAGAAAGUGGCCCCCAAAGGGAGUGACGCUCUCAGGAGGUGUGGCCUUGUCGGAGGAAGUCUGUCACUCUGGCAGUGGGCUUUGAGGUCUCUUUUGCUCAAGCUUCCCUCAGUGUGACACUCAGAUCACGUCCUGUUGCCUGCAAGGCGUAAGACUCUGUUCCUUUUGCAGCACCAUGUCUGCCUGCAUGCCUCUAUGUCUCACCUGGAUACAGAGAUGAUAAUAUGUAUCAGUCCUAAAUGAUAAUGGAUGGGACCUCUGAAGCCCUAUGUGAACCACCACAGUUAAAUGCUUUCCUUUGUAAGAGUUGCCGUGGUCACAGCAUUGGAAACCCUAACUAAGACCUUACGAAGUUUCAGAGAGAAGUUUAAAGACCACUCUUUUGAGUUGAGAUUCUGUGGUGUCUGAUUGGCUGGGACUGACGAAUCAGCUAUGAUUAACAAGAGACUAGAAUCACUAAAAUAAAACCUUUGCUUUUCUGGGACAAUGGAUGCGGGUCAGCCAGAGAUAAGAAAUUUUGGUGAUUAAGAAGAGACCAGCAUCACUGAGGUGAAGUCUCCUGGGAAGUGCGUCCCCAGGGCCAACACACAGAAGCUGGGGUCCAGAGGCAGCUGAACUCGAUAGUGCAAGAGUCACCCAGUGGUGCUGGCUUUGAAGGCCUGAAGGGGUCAUGGAGAGCAGCUGAGGCUUGGCACUGUGUGGCAGGGCUGCAGUCCCUGAAGAGAGCCCAGGAGAGGGCAGUGGUGAAAAUGCAGCCCAGCUGCAGCAGAGACCCCAGCACUUUGGAGAUGCCAGUGCCAUGGGGUGGCCACCAGGAACAGCAGCAGUGGAGUGGAGCAGAGCCAGCCUGAGCCUGGAAGACAAGCUGUGUGUGCUGCAGAGGGCAGAGCCGGAGAAGUGACCCAAGCCCUUUGGAGGAGCCCAGAAGUUGAUGAGAAGCACGGGGGACUACUGCAGUUCGGCCCAGGACCACAAGCUGAUCAGAGGGAAAUGACAAGGCUCAGAGGGACAAAGCUGCCAGCCAGCUGGUGACAGAACACAAGCCCAGGCUCUGGGAUCCAAGAGAGGUGUUCGCAAGCAUGCCUGGUUUAUGAGCUGCCGGGGAUUGAACCCACAGCUUCAUGCGUGCCAGGCAGAUACUCUUCCAGUUGAGCCACCAGCCCCUGGGUGCUGCAUGCUAGGCAGCAGAGGUCCCCCAUGCAAACAGUCCCGCCCACGGUGGUUCACAUGGAGCUUGCAGUGUGUGCUGGAGGAUAUGGACCAAGCACAAGUCCGGGGUCUGGGGGAGUCUGCGUGAGCGGUGGAGGAGGAGAGCAGGGUCACAGCCUCAGAAAGUUCUCUGGUGGAAAGAGGGAUGGGAAGGUUAGGGCAAUGGGUAUUGAAGUCACAAACAUUGGCGGGGAUACCAGGGGGAACACACAGAGCUGCUAAAGGGGCCUCUCAGCUUUAGGGUUCCGAUUGUCUGCCCUGCCCAGAGAGGGAAUGAAUAUAUUGGCUUUUAGCACUUCUCCUGCCAGGGGCUGUUUGGCAAACAAACCCUGCGUGUAAUUUUAAAAAAAGCCACCUGGCAGAAUUUUUCACAGUCUAGAGGCUGGCCCUCGUCCCUCCAGGUACCAGUGGCUCCCUUCUUGUUGGCUUCUAGCAGUAGCCAUGGCCCCCUGGUCUUCCCACGCAGCACAAUGCCCGCACGGCGUCUUGGGACUCUUUUCACAGGACACAGUCCCUGGGUUAGAACACACCCCAAACCUUAUCUAACCUGAGUACAUCAACAGAGACUUGAGUUUUCUCAUAAAACCACACCAUAGGGCCCUGGGGGCCGGACCCUUCCAGUCCUUUUGGAGGGACACAGUUCCUUCUCGCCCUCCCGGCAGGGAAGUUUCCAGAUUGUUGGCACCUUCAGCACUCAGAGGAGCCAGGGAUCAAGCACUGCUGGAGAAACCCAAGUUCAGGUACUUCUCCUUGUGACCUCAGACUGUUUUACCCAGAGCAGCAGCUGGAGUCCAUGUGGCACUGGGGCAGGGCAGGUCUCCUGGGCAUGCCUCUCCCUGGGGCUGCACUCGAGAUGAAGCGUGCUGAUAUCAGCACACGCCUGCCACCUUCCUUCCCAGCAGAUCUCAACCGUCAGUGACUGUCACUCCUAGCUCUCGUCCCAGAUUUUAUUGGCAGUUUCGUUGUCACCCCCAAAAUCUUUUUCUCUCAGUUGGCAUUUUCAUCAGGCGAGGCUGGGUGGGAGAAGGAGGCAGAGCUGGCUUUUGGGAACCAACGGUGUCAGUGCCCCUGGCCUGGGGUCAGCAGAGGAAGAGGACCCCAGAUGGCAUCCCUUUACCCAGGAGCAAAGGAGAACAAAAGGCAGGGAGUGGGGUAUGCCCUGUGGUGCUCCAGACUCCACAGAUUUCCAAGCCCUCAGCCCUCCCAGUUGAUAUGUAGGAGGCAAGGUGAUGGGGUGAGCACGUGGGCCAUGGCAUCAGACCCACCCAGGGGUAUUUCUCAGCUUGGAGCAGCACUUGAGGGCAUAUCUGUCUGCUGUGGUGCCUCAACAUACCCAUCUACCAAGUGGGAGCAACCGGUACUUCCAUUGGCUGAGGCCAUAUCUAGGCCAAGCAUUGUCAUCCUGUUCAGGCCACCCGAACCCGAGAAGGCUGGUACCAUCACCAUCAGUAUCUUAGUGGUGGGGACCAGCAUACUGGUCAGGUGACCAGAGAAGAGGCAACAACUGGAUUUGAACUUGGGCCGUGAAAUUCCUGGUCAUAAGCCUGUGCUGUAGGGUCCAUAGGAAGAGCGAAGGUAAGAAGGUGUCAGCACACGGAGAAAAUCGAGCUGCUGUGCCGAGUAGCACGGACCAGGCUCCGUGGUGGCCACUUGAUGCUGAGGAGCGCCCUUAGGGGUUGAGUCUAUCUUCGAAGUGGGACCCCACAGUGUCCAGCAGGACUAGGUCACUACAAGGGGCUGCAGCUGUACAAUCAGAAAACAAAGACCCAAAGCUGCUUCUUGUUCAGGACCACCAGGCAGCCGCGGGUGCCCAGUGCUUGAGUUCUGCAGUGGCUGCUUACCGAGUCGAGUUUCAUGAUGUGUACAGUGGAGGAAUCAGAAAUUCCACUUAGGGGGUCAAGAGGUCCCCUGGCAUGGGGAGAAAGUCGUAAUUCAGUAUCUAGAAAAUUUCUUACAGAGCUCAGACUCCGAACCCCUCUUGUGGUGCGGAUGAGGAACCUGAGGCCCUGGGAUGAGAAGAAAGGAGAAACUCCUGCCCCAGCUUCUGGACUCCUGGCCCAGCAUCAUCCUCCGAGGCCUCUGCCACCUCCUCACCCUCCUCCCCGCACCUCUGACCCCUGUGACUUCGGGAGCCUGAGCCCCAGGCCUGCCGCGAGGAGUGCCAUUCUCCCUCUCCCUGGCACACUGAAGGUUUUGAAAGUUAAAGUGUUACCGUCGGCUUUGUUGUUGCCUAACUACGACAGACAAAUUGAGAACGAGUUGUCAAAAUGUCAACGCACAACAAAUCAACAUGCGAAACGAGUCCCGGCGCUCCGCGGUGUAUAAUUAAACAAAAAAUCCCUUUUAGAAAUUUCAGUGAACGCCGGUUCCACUUUAUAUUUGUCUGUGUGAUUAAUAAAGGCAGCUAAUUUUCAGACUCCAGAACAGCUAGAAAAUAGCUCCUAAUUACAUAUUAGGUUCCUGGCGGCCCCCGCUGUGCUCCGCCGGCAUUGGUGGGCCCAAGAAUUUGGCAGAGCCUUAAUUGCAUUCUGAGCGUCAUCUAAUUUUAGUUAAAUGUAAUG
This is a long non-coding RNA of Arvicola amphibius (Eurasian water vole), 4150 nucleotides long. RefSeq lists it as uncharacterized. Lineage: Eukaryota; Metazoa; Chordata; Mammalia; Rodentia; Cricetidae. The record is from RefSeq and is a predicted model, not a curated record. The transcript is spliced from 3 exons.